GUUUAGUGGCAAACGGGUGAGUAAUGCAUGGGUAACGUUCCCUAAAGACCGGGACAACCGCCCGAAAGGGUGGCUAAUACCGGAUGUGGUCAUGAGGACCCAAGUCCUCGUGAUUAAAUGAUGGCCUCUACUUGUAAGCUAUCGCUUUAGAAUCGGCCCAUGUCCCAUCAGCUAGUUGGUAGGGUAAUGGCCUACCAAGGCUGCUACGGGUAGCCGGUCUGAGAGGAUGUUCGGCCACACUGGAACUGCGACACGGUCCAGACUCCUAAGCAAGCCAACAGUAAGGAAUUUCCACAAUGGGCCAAGCUGAUGGAGCAACGCGCUGAGGAAUGACGGCUCGGGAGGUAACUCUUCGGUAGGAACAAUGGUAAUGCGUGAAUAACGCCGUUAUUUGAUGGUACCUAAAGAAGAAGCUUCGGCUAACUCUGUGCAGCAGCGCGGUAAUACAGAGGAAGCUAACGUGUCCGGAUUUACUGGGCGUAAAGGGUUGUAGGCGGCCAAAUUAGUCAGUUGUGAAAUCGCUCCGCUCAACGGAGCAAUUGCUUCUGAUACUGUUUGGCUUGAGUGCAGGAAGGGUAAAUGGAAUUUCCGGUGUAGCGGUGGAAUGCGUAGAUAUCGGAAAGAACACCAGUGGCGAAGGCGGUUUACUGGCCUGCAACUGACGCUGAAAAACGAAAGCCAGGGGAGCAAACGGGAUUAGAUACCCCGGUAGUCCUGGCUGUAAACGGUGCAUAUUAGUGCAAGUGAUUCAUUUCAUUUGUGCCGACGCUAACGCAUUAAAUAUGCCGCCUGGGAACUACGGCCGCAAGGUUGAAACUCAAAGAAAUUGACGGGGGUCCGCACAAGUGGUGGAGCAUGUGGUUUAAUUCGACGCACGCGAAGAACCUUACCUAGGCUUGACAUGCAUGUGCAAUCUCUAUGAAAGUAGAGCCCCUGCCCGAAAGGGUAGCACAUGCACAGGUGUUGCAUGGCUGUCGUCAGCUCGUGCCGUGAGUGUUGGGUUAAGUCCUCUAACGAGCGCAACCCCUAUGCCUAGUUGCCAGCGGGUAAUGCCGGGAACUCUAGCGAGACUGCCUGGAAUACCAGGAGGAAGGCGGGGACGACGUCAAGUCAUCAUGGCCUUAUGUCUAGGCUUACACACGUGCGACAAUGGCAGGUACAGCGGGUUGCAAGACCGUGAGGUGGAGCUAAUCCCUAAAAACCUGUCCCAGUUCGGAUUGGAGUCUGCAACUCGACUCCAUGAAGCCGGAAUCACUAGUAAUCGUGGAUCAGCUACGCCACGGUGAAUACGUUCCCGGGCCUUGUACACACCGCCCGUCACGCCACGAAAGUUGUUUGUACCAGAAGACGCCGAUCCAACCGCAAGGAGGUAGGUGGCCAAGGUAUGAGCGAUGAUUGGGGCGAAGUCGUAACAAGGUAACC
This 1422-nucleotide ribosomal RNA is filed under the name uncultured microorganism. Its description in RNAcentral is "16S ribosomal RNA". It matches the Rfam family "Bacterial small subunit ribosomal RNA". The record is from RNAcentral.